AUACGUGCACGCUCACAUGCGCUCUGCUUUCUGCCCCGGUUUGGGCCCAGAGGCAGGUCACAGGAAGCUGCUCCUAUCAAUAAGUUAUUAAUACUUGAUGCUGGUGGCCGCCGUGCAUUAUUCAGCAAUAAUGAUAAGGGCUGUUCCAUUAUAGAUUACAGCACCUGCAGACCCCCCCCCUCUCUUUGAGGCACACCUUUCAAAGCAGAAGUGAAAGAAAGACCUGCUGCUGAAGACAAACCUGAGGACAAGUUUGUGCCAGAGGUUUGGAGCGCUGCAGGAAGAAACGGUGAAGUCUGCCUUGAUGAAGCUCAGACACGAUCAGGAUGUUGAUCCAACCAGGGAGAGCAGAUCUUCAGCACAAGGUGCUUCUGGACCGUCAGAGGCAUUUAACAGUUUAUGCUGAACGGCUUACUAUGACAUCAAGAUUUAAAGAGAUUUUUAACUGAUUUGCAUAAACAUCCACUACAAAAGCCCUCCUAGAGGCUUCCAUCAUGAAAGAAUAUCAUGUUGUUGGUGUUUUCAACAUGUUCCUGUGGCAUUUUUCUGAUAAUGGAGGACAUGUAUAAAGAAAAUUAAGAUUAAAUUGCAAUUCUGAGUAUUUCUUUGUUGAAAUCGCUGAGAAUCAGGAGCAGAUGAAAAAAAUGCAGUUUCAAAAUGAUUGAGAUGUAUAAAAGACGCUGGGCGGACCACGAGCUCCCUGCCCCGAGCUCUCCACCAGCAACAGGGAGGGGAAGAGGGGGCGGGAUUGUUCCGCACCAACAGCCCCAGGUCAAUCUUUAGAGAAAUCCUGCCGUUCUGCAGAAACCAUGUCCAAGAAAAUGACAUUUCUGAUUUUAGCUCAAAACAGCUUCAUCAUCAGUAAAACCCACCUGGAACACUUUGACUCUGCAGGAUCAGAAAAAGAGUCUCAGAAGCCAAAUGAUUCUCUCCUCGUUUUUCUUUGAGCUGAUUAAAAGAAAAACUGACAAAUGCGGCAAGAAGAGCGAGUAGCCAUCUUGGGCCUGGGAUUGGCUUCCAUGUCAGGAACACGGUCCAAACAAAAGAGUAUCCAGUGGAAGAUGUUAUGGACUCCAUGAUGCUGUGAUGUCAUUUUAACAUCCUGCGUUUAAAAAAACACCACCAUGGAUGAGUGGAGCGGUAGGUAUGGCGCCUUCGCAAAGAGGAUUUUCUCCAAGACUGGCGUCGUAAAAACCGACGUUCCCCGGCUACAGUCCCCACAUUCACCUGUGGGCGGCGCUACACACUAAUCCUUUUUCGGCAGAGGUAAAGAGGUGCGCUGCUGCUAUCCUCCUGGUCUCGGGCAGAAGACGAGCAGGAAAUAUGAAAUGAUUCUGAUAUCUCCUUCAAAGAGGAAGCGUCUCUCCCCUUCCUGAGUGUCACAGAUAGCAGAGAGAGCUGGCGGACUGCUAAUGCUCUCUUAAGACCAGAUAGGCUCAUUAUACGGCUGCUGUGAGGACAGGAAGGAAAAAAACAUGUCAGGUCUGCCAGACAUGUCUGCUCCGUCCCUUUGUAAAGGUAAAAGCCAGUUGCUUCCUCUCACCUCUUUCAACCUCACAUAAAAACACCAACUGGAAGCCUCAGUCUCCACUGCAGCAACAAUAAUUGGCCUUCAUGGGAAGUGGGCG
This 1628-nucleotide long non-coding RNA is filed under the name Oryzias sinensis (Chinese medaka). RNAcentral describes it as "lncRNA (ENSOSIG00000014593.1)". The record is from RNAcentral. Lineage: Eukaryota; Metazoa; Chordata; Actinopteri; Beloniformes; Adrianichthyidae.